CCCUCUCCAGCUUUCCAGCCACCAUGAAUCCUGAGCCUACUCUUAAACUGAUCAUUGGAAAAAACAUUGACCAGUAUGGAGGCAAGAAGAGAUCAUGGAAUUGGUGGGGCGACUGUGGUAUUCUCUGACAAAAAUAUUUGGACAAGGGUGAGCCAAUUUGAAGAAAUGGAAUUACAGAAGAUGAGAUCACCAGGUUAGAGAG
Non-coding RNA from Lonchura striata (white-rumped munia), 202 nucleotides. Lineage: Eukaryota; Metazoa; Chordata; Aves; Passeriformes; Estrildidae. The record is from RefSeq and is a predicted model, not a curated record.